RNAcentral lists this ribosomal RNA (253 nucleotides) under uncultured bacterium. RNAcentral's name for it is "partial 16S ribosomal RNA". It matches the Rfam family "Bacterial small subunit ribosomal RNA", at positions 524 to 776 of the family's 1533-position model. The record is from RNAcentral.
UACGUAGGGUGCAAGCGUUAAUCGGAAUUACUGGGCGUAAAGCGUGCGCAGGCGGUUUUGUAAGCCAGAUGUGAAAUCCCCGGGCUUAACCUGGGAAUGGCAUUUGGGACUGCAAGGCUAGAGUGUGUCAGAGGGGGGUAGAAUUCCACGUGUAGCAGUGAAAUGCGUAGAUAUGUGGAGGAAUACCGAUGGCGAAGGCAGCCCCCUGGGAUAACACUGACGCUCAUGCACGAAAGCGUGGGGAGCAAACAGG